AACAGGGAACAACCGGGAAACGACAGCAGCGACUGCCCCAUCAUCGUGCAACGACGCCGUGUUCCUCCAGUAGCAGCAGCCGGGAAACGAACAGAGCCCAUCACAGCGGCGGUCGAUCUCCUCCAGCACACCACAGAACCGUUCUCCCCGUCUCCAGCAAGCAGCCCCACCAUCAGCCAACGCCGCCGCCCGAAACAGAGAAGAAGGCAAAACCGAGAAGAAGCAGAGGCGUAACGGAGAAGAAGAAAAUGAGGAGCAGAUCUGAAACAAAAAAAAUAAUAAAAUAAAACCAACUGGAUUGCGUCCUUUUCUUCUUUGCAGGUAAUGUUGCUCCUCACUGCCAGUGUAGGAGGGAAGAGGAGAUGAAGGCGAGGCCGAUCCACCGGCUGCCCAGUUUUUUUUCAGUGGCGCGUGGAUCCACGCGCCGCCAGUGGCGGGGCGCGUGGAUCCACGCGCCUUCCACUGUCCAGGCAGCCCGGAAUGCAGCCCAGAAUUUGUUUUGGGUCAUAUUUGUAAUUUCCAAAUUGUUUAAUGUAAAUUUAUUUAGUUUUGAGUUUUUUUUUUGUAUUUUUGUAAAUAUGAAGAAAAAGGAAAAAGAAAAGAAAAAAUAUAAUAAAAGAAAUGUUGUGUGUGUUGUUUGUUUUUUUUAUUUAUUUAUGUUAUUGAAUUAAAAAUCAAAAAAGACAAAAAAAGAAUAAAUUGUUAAUUUAAAUAUGGUUAAAUAUCUUAAGGACAAAUAAAAUCAAGUUGUAUUUUCCACGAAAAUGUAAGAACAAGUUUUUUACAUAUAUUCGGGGAUUCAAUAACUGAUUUAUUCAAGCCUUAGAAUUUAAUUAAUAUUUUAAAUUUUCUUAAAUAUGGUUAAAUAUCUCAAGGACAAAUAAAAUCAAGUUGUAUUUCCCACGAAAAUGUGAGAACAAAUUUCUACAUAUAUUCGGGGAUUUAAUAACUGAUUUAUUCAAGCCUUAGAAUUUAAUUAAUAUUUUAAAUUUUCAAAUCACAUCAGAACACGAAGCAGCUUACCUCAGGUAGGGUGUGUUAUGGGUGCUAAUACCUUCCCUAACCACAACCAGUCCCUUAUCCGCGAUCUCUGAUAAGACCAGUACGUCAGGUUUCCUAGUAGCCCUCAAUAAAUUACUAGGUGGCGACUCCCACGAACGAAUUCAAAGCAAAACACAACAACAAGAAAAAUCGCCAGCCGAUGCCGCGCGCUAGAUUUUUUUGGGGUGCGACAGGAUGGCGACUCCACUGGGGAUGGUAUUGUUUUCAACUUUAUCGGACUAAGCUUUGUGUUUUGAUGUGUUCAAUUUUUUUUUUUAUUUUUUGUGCUUUGUUUUGUUUUAUUUUUGAUUUAUCCAUGCAUUGUAUAUAAUUCUCUCAUGCAUCACAAGUUUUAAUUUUUGAAAGCACACACCAGCUUUAGGUUAGGUGGGGGACUAGCAGCUUACCUUACGACUUGAGUCAAGGUUUAAGUUUGUGUAAACCCCAACUCUUUGUUGAGUGCUUAGACUGGUAAUAGUUGGACACGUGCCAACCAAUUACCUACUAGGCCCCUAUAUUGCCUUUACGAAGGCGAUCACUGGGACAACAAGAGACCCUUUUAGAGACCAAGUAGCAAACCUACCCUGUCUCACGUAAUAUAAAUAGAGCUUGUCUUUAGGAUGUAUGUGCUAUUGUUCUGCAUCCGAGCAAACCCUUCUUGAAGCAUCUUGAACUCAAGACUUGUGGGUGACACAAUGGCCGUCACUCAGAAAAUUUUCAUUGUAGAGUUUGGGCAAAAAUCUCGAUUCUUGUUCCAUUAUACAAGAGUUACGACCAUAUUGUCACCCCUCGAAGGGUGAGUUCGUCAUAUAGAUUACAUAUUCAUACAUUUAUCAUGCAUGUACCGGGUUGAAAAGUAGGUUCCCCCGCAUAAGUUGUGCUGCACGUGAUUGAAGAAAAAUGAUGGAGGUGAAAAAAGGUGUCAGAUAGAGGCUCAUUAUUAGUUUGAGUUUGAGAGCAUCAAAGGUGAAAUAGCUGGACUCAGAUCUGCUCGAACAAGUGUUAGCAUCAAAUGGAAAGAGAAUGUCUGCAUAGUCUUCUGUGGGAACACUGCUUGUCCACGUCCAAUUGAAGCUAUAUCUCUCUUGUUCAGUCAUGAACAAACAACAACAACGCCUUCAGUUAUCAACUAAUGACAACUCUGAUUUUUGUCUAGUUGCACUGUUAAGUGUUCAUCGCCUCCACAUCAUCUAAUGGAACCCAACGACUACUAGCCUCCUGUACAUGGUGCAUUAGUUUGCUUUGAAGUUACCCCGAUUAUAAGCUCAAUUCCAGCUCAGCAGCACAAGAUGGUCUGAAAAACCAUGAUUAAACACUGAACUUCAAUAUGGCAGAGCUCUCUCUACAAAAAUCCAUUUAUGGCCAUGCAAAUUGAGAAUGCAAGAGGGGAUUUAUAAGUUGCAUAUGCUACCAAUAUUUCUCUCAUCAGUUUCAGCACGAAAACCUCUUAGUAGGUUGAAGAGCCAGAUCUGGUCCGAAAAAUAUGAGCAGACAUCAAACUUUAAUGUAGCAGAGCUCUCUCGGCAGAAAUCUGUUUGUGGAUCCGCAAGUGGGAAAUCCAAGAAGGAAUACAGUAGUUUCAGAUCAUCUAUGAUUUUCCUCCAACAGUGUCAGUUUUUUAAAACGCAAAAUACUCAGAAGAGACAUGCCUAGACUGAAAAAAACAUGAAGAAGACUGAAACUUCAACAGAGCAGAACUCCCUCUAUUGGUGCUUGUUAGUUGCACCGUUUGAGAGGAAUCGAAGAAGAAAUAGAGGAGAUUCAUGUUCAUCAUUUUCUCCCAUAGAAGAGAUAAGGCAUGAUUCCACGUGUUGGUAGUGGUGAUACUACAAGUUUUUGGCGCUGCCAAGAUUACCAAGCUGUUGGAAAGUUUUCUAACAAUCCUCAACCCACCACAACAACAUUGGAAGAUUGAAGGAUACUGUGAGGAUUUACCGAAGAAUUGAACAAGCUAUGAAAAGAGGAAAGAUUGAAGGAUCUACCAUGGACUCCAGAACAAUGACGAGAGGUGAAUCAGGAGAUGACUUUGACGGUGCGAACCUUUAAUUAUGUGGUAUAGUCAGGUCUCAUGGUAGAAUCAAUUGCUCAAAUGUCUUUGCCAAAGAUAGACAUUCCUUUGCCAUGUGGGUUUAUUUACUAGCACUGCCAAAUUCCAUACUCAGUGUCCCGGACUUCGACAAAUUGCAUGCAACCACCGUGGUAUAAUUCAAACUAGAUGUGAAUAUCAUGGAGGGUUCCCGGACUAUUUCAGUUGAACAGACACAAGAGUUUCAAGACUCGAGCUGAGUUUGCGAAAGAUGAUGUUGAAUCAUUUUCAGAAUGACAAGUGAUCGGAAGUGCUUGGUAAAACACAAAUAUUGUCAGAAAAGCUGAUUCAAGAAUGGUGAUGAACAGUCAAUCAUAUUGUUUUGGAAUUCUGCAUUUUGUUUUGAUAUCACAUCUCAUCCUUCAACGAAACAUGCCCUGCUUUUGUCUCUUUGUUGUUUUGAAAUCAACAGAUGUUUAACAUUUUUUUUCCGACAAAAUAUUUUUGAUCAAACUCCAACAUGCAAUAAAGGCUAAUCAAUCCUGAAGAUUAAAAGUGUUUUGAUUGCAGAAAUGACUCGAUUCUUAUUGAAAUGACAUGAGGUGACCAAACAAAUUUUGAGCUCAUACACAAAAUUGAACCACACAUCAUAUAGCUAAGUUUUAGCAGUAUGCAUAAUGACAUGUAGUGGAUUUGGUAGUUAUAGACCCGUGAAUCAUUGACUCUUACAAGUCCAAAUCAUUACACUGGAUGAGGUCAAAAUUUAUCGGUUCUAACCGACCUUGCUUGAAAUGAGAAAAGGCCAUCUUUGAUAUCCCUUCACUUUCUAAAGUUUAUAUCCCUUGUAGUCCCAUGUUGAGCUGAAUAGAAUAUAUAUAUAUAUUUUUUUAUAGAAACCCUGACUAGGAUCACACCCCACAUUGGGGGGCAAAUGAAAAAUAUCUUGGAGACACAGAUAAAAUCAAUGGAUCAAAGAAAAGCUUAGAACAAAAGUCCAAUGUUUGAGAAAGGGCUAGAAGAAGAAAAUCCAUUGAUUGAGGGCCAUCCAAGAAAAACUUUGAGGAAAUGAAAGAAAACGCCUACCAAUUCUAAGAGAGGCAAGACAACUUUCAAUUGAGAAAAGACAAUAAAUGCCAAAAGUCAACACUAGAAAAAUCGAUGCUUCAUAUCUUUUGGUGUGUCUAGGAUAAAGCCUCUAAUGUCUUCAAAUUGUUUUAGAUUGGUUAUUCAUCAAAGAAAAGUUGGAUUUGGAUUAUGACCUAUGUUAAGAGAAUUCUGAUAUUUGAGAUUAACAAGGUUAUGUCACUUUCUCUACAAUGACGACAAGAGAAAGAGAAUCGAUGAAUAAUUGAUGUUGAUCCUAAGUCGUUGAAACCCUCAAACACCUUUUGAGCCUUUGAAAUUCCUUUCUUUCACAACCAUGAACCAUAGCCUGCAUUACGUGCUUUUAAAAGCCCUUUUUAAUCAAGUAAGCAAUUUGAACCAAUAAAUGGCGAUCUCAAAACUUGAAGAGUUUUUUCUAUAAGAGUCGUGACUUCAUUGAAUUAAGCUACUGGUUAUUAUGCAUGCUGAUAAAAUAAAUGCUAAGAAAAGAAACAACCUUUCUUGAUAAAGCCUGAGCAUCUUGUUUUUGAAAUUCAUAAAAAUGUCACCUCAUCACAGACCAUCAAAAGAUAUACCCAAAAUCAGAGUUUAAAAUGGACACAAAGAACCAUGAAAAAGUCAUUUUAAAUCUUACAACGGGUCAUUUCUGUUUUCAAGAUACAAGACAAUCAAAGGACUGCAUUGAAUAGUGUGUUGGGUCUUUGACCAAAGAAGUUUGAAUUUCAAAAAAAAAAAAAAAAAUUUCAAAAACAGACAUCUCUCUGAUUUCAUUUCAACAAUUAGACUUGAAUAGACAUGAUCGUUGAAAUGUGAGAUUUGAUUCCAGAACAAGAAAGAUUUUCAAACAAGAACAUCAGUUGAGUUUGCAAAAUCCUCGACAAAAAUGACAUCAACAUUUCUCGACACUCCUUGAAACGUUGACCACUUGGGGGCAAUACAGUGGACCCUUAGAAGAAAAACAAACAUCAUUCUAAUCAGCUGGGGGCAAAGAAAGAAUCAGAUGAUGAGUCGUCAAAGUUCAUCAAAGUUAUGUUUAGCAUCUGACAAUGACAAAGAAAAACCUUCUUGAGUAUAAACUCGAUGAACGAACCUUCAGAUCAUAUUGGGGGCAAUGUUGUUCAAAGACAAUCCAUGAUCUAGUGCACUUCAGCAGCAAUUGAUGAGCAACGCUGCACUAGAAGGAUAUUUUCAUAUCUUCAUCUUGGGUUACCCUGUAAAACAUGGCUAUGACUCCUGACAGAUGUUAUCGGGUGAGUGCAUUUGAAUGAACAUCGAACAUAUGCAUACCAUUAAGAUUGACUAUGGGACCAUCUAUUCUGAAGCUCAAAUGCGCACUUCACCGCAUGAAUAUGGGUGAUAACAUGAACAUCAUUAAUGAUGCCAAAGCAUUUAUUUUCACGAUCUGAUUUGACAAGCUAAGAGGAAUCCAUAGAGAAAUACAUCGCGCUUACAAUGAUGAGCUGUUUACUGCAAAGCAUGAGAUCCAUGUCUGGAUGACUUGGCAGUUCCAUGAAGGUUGGUGACCGCAUAUACUUGAAUGGUGUUUCAACUGGAGGCAAGUUCAUGAUUGAUUAACAAUCUUGAUGGGGUGGUUGCAUGAUGCACACAAUCAACCAGAGGAUAAUUCUCAGAAGAAGCCAGGAGAGAAAAUCCUUCAUGAUGAAUCAAGCAGUACCACACUUGGGGGCAGGUCAAGCUUGAUGAACGAUGCGAGCAGUAAUUGUCAAAGACAACCCGGGAUGGGCACUGCAUUUACAGCUGAGUGGAUGGCUAGCACAUGAAUGAGCCAAUGCAUCGAAAGAACAAGGAAAGCUUUGGGAAUGCAAACAAAGGCACCCUAUGACGAUGAAGCAUCAAAGAGGGGGGGACCUAUAUUUCAAAUCAGGUAAGGAUGCAUGCAUAUCAUCUAACCUAAAAAAAAAAAAAAAAACCAUUUGCACAUAUUUUUGAAUUGUUACAGGAAAAUCCUUAAUGAGGUCCAGUAAGAUGGUGGAAAAAGAAAGAAGCAUUGUGGUGAUAAUAAAGAAUCGGUUUUGAUCAUGGAAUAAAAGGACGAUGGGAUGAACCUUACCAUUAGGAAAAUCCCAAAGAAAUGAAAAGAUCAACCUUGCAAUCGGGAAGCCUCGAGUUUUCAACCCUUGCAGUCAGGAAACACCGAGUUUUUUUUUUUUUUUUCAAACCCUAUGAUCGGGAAUUAUCAGGAAGCACCAAGUUUUUCCAGCCCUUCUUCUAUCAUCCCUUCAGGACUUCGCCAGGUAAGUCCUAUUUUUCACACUUGUCAUAUCACAUUUUUUCAUCUGGGUAGGUCGCCCAUCAUAAUAAGACCGUUCUUUAUAUUUUUUCCAUUUUUAGGUAGGUCACCCAUUACAAUGAGACCGCACUUCAUAUUCUUUCUAUCUGGGUAGGUCGCCCAUCACAACGAGACCACUUCAUCAUAUUUUUUCCAUCUGGGUAGGUCACCCAUUACAAUGAGACCACACUUCAUAUUUUUUCCAUCUGGGUAGGUCACCCAUUACAAUGAGACCACACUUCACAUUUUUUUCAUCUUGGGUAGGUCACCCAUCACAAUGAGACCAUCAUCUUUUCUGGGUGGGUCACCCAAAGAAUGAGACCAUUCUCCAUCUUUUUUUUACCUGGGUAGGUCACCCAUAAGAAUGAGGUCAUUCCUCCCCCUGGGUAGGUCACCCAAAGAAUGAGACCACUCUUCCUUUUCCACUUGGGUAGGUCACCCAUCACAAUGAGACCACCAUUUUUUUGGGUAGGUCACCCAAAGAAUGAGACCAUUCUCCAUUUUUUUUACCUGGGUAGGUCACCCAUAAGAAUGAGGCCAUUCCUUCCCCUGGGUAGGUCACCCAAAGAAUGAGACCACUUUUUCCCCUUUCCACUUGGGUAGGUCACCCAUCACAAUGAGACCACCAUUUUUUCUGGGUAGGUCACCCAUUAGAAUGAGACCAUUCUCCAUCUUUUUUUUUACCUGGGUAGGUCACCCAUAAGAAUGAGGCCAUUCUUCCCCCUGGGUAGGUCACCCAAAGAAUGAGACCACUCUUCCUCCUUUCCAUUGGGGUUCGUCACCCAUACAAUGAGACCAUUAUUUUUAUGGGGUUCGUCACCCAUACAAUGAGACCAUUAUUUUUCUGGGGUUCGUCACCCAUACAAUGAGACCAUCAUUUUUCUGGGGUUCGUCACCCAUACAAUGAGACCAUUUUUCACACAUUCUUUUGUUUUGGUUAAAUGAGGUCGCCAGAUGGGAUCUCGGGUAGCUUUGGUUAAAGGGAAUCGCCAGAUGGGAUUUCAGGUUAACCGAGUUACACAAUAUUUUUGUUCCAGUUGAAUGAGGUCGCCAGAUGGGAUCUCAUGUAGCUUUGGUUAAAGGGAAUCUCCAUUGGGGUUUCGGGUUGACCGAGCUACACGCAUUCUUUGGUUUUGGUAAAGGAGGUCGCCAGAUGGGAUCUCAGGUUAACAAAAAAAUAUAUUGAGCAAACAGAAAGACAAGUUUUUCUUUACAAAACUUACUAUGCAAAACAUCGAGGAUUUUUGCUUCGUAAGCAUUGUAAAGAGGGGGCAUCUGUUGCUACCCAAUUUUUGACCCAUGUUUUUGAUAUAUUUUCAAAAAAUCCAAAAAUAGAGAAAAACAAAGAAAAUCCAAAAAAAUAUGUUUUUAAUAUAUUUUUGUCAUUUUAGCAUUUUCAACGUCGUCUAAAAAUUUUUAAAAAAUUUUUAAGGGUCUUUCGAACGCGUUCGACUUUUCACGCGUCAUUUUUAAAAAUAAUUGAUUUUUCGUAUUUGAGUCGACGUUGAUAUUGCUCGUUUUCAAAAAAUACAAAAAAACAAGAAAAGUCAAAUUUUACAAAAAAAAGAAAAGAAAAUUAAGGGACCAAUUUUGAGGCCGAAACAAUAUUUUUGCCUAUGUAUAGAGAAUUUUGAAUUUUUGAAAGAAGCGGGCAACCUAAGAAUUUUCUCUUCACCCGAAACUAGUUGUUGCCCCUGGCCCAAGACCAUUAUUUAAUCCCUCUCUUUCGGCUGAAAAUUAAGGACUUAGCCCCCACCCAUGGUCUUCUUUUCCUUGUUUCCCGCCGACAUGGUGGCCCUCCUCAUAAUGAAAAAAAUCCAUAUUUCUUCUCAUUCCCAGCUUUGCAAGGGGGGGGAGAUUGGAGCCAUUUUUCGCCGGGUCCCGAGAGCAGUAGGCAGAGAAACUGGAACUCCUGUUCACUACCAGCUCCACACCAUUUUCCCCCGACCUUCUGAUUUUUUUUCUUCUCCUUUUCCAACCGCCUCCCCUCACAAAUAAACCUCCAGCCUUACACCGUCUCCCCCUCCCUUGCCAUCUGCCAAACAGCCAUCACUGCCCCCUGAUCCGCUGUCAUUUUCCUUUUCUUCCCCGGCCAUUCCUUUCUCCCUCACCCAAACAGCCCCUACACACCCGAUCUCUCCAACACACAGCCGCCGCCAACCAUCAGGGAAUUUUUUUUUUCUCUGCACACAGCCCCCCACCCCGGUGUUGGUUUUCAAUUUUUCAGACCCGGCUGGUCUGAUUUGGUUUCUUCCUCUCUCCCAGCCAAUCGGCCCCCACACAUUCAUCUCCUCCCUCAAACUACAGCAGCAACAAGAUCUGCCAUCGGCAGAAGAAGAAACCCACCGUUGGAAACAGGGAACAACGGGGAAACGACAGCAGCGACUGCCCCAUCAUCGUGCAACGACGCCGUGUUCCUCCAGUAGCAGCAGCCGGGCAACGAACAGAGCCCAUCACAGCGGCGGUCGAUCUCCUCCAGCACACCACAGAACCGUUCUCCCCGUCUCCAGCAAGCAGCCCCACCAUCAGCCAACGCCGCCGCCCGAAACAGAGAAGAAGGCAAAACCGAGAAGAAGCAGAGGCGUAACGGAGAAGAAGAAAAUGAGGAGCAGAUCUGAAACAAAAAAAAUAAUAAAAUAAAACCAACUGGAUUGCGUCCUUUUCUUCUUUGCAGGUGAUGUUGCUCCUCACUGCCAGUGUAGGAGGGAAGAGGAGAUGAAGGCGAGGCCGAUCCACCGGCUGCCCAGUUUUUUUUCAGUGGCGCGUGGAUCCACGCGCC
RNAcentral lists this long non-coding RNA (9240 nucleotides) under Populus tremula. RNAcentral's name for it is "long non-coding RNA (PTRE_LNC000705)". Lineage: Eukaryota; Viridiplantae; Streptophyta; Magnoliopsida; Malpighiales; Salicaceae. The record is from RNAcentral.